GAUGAACGCUGGCGGCGUGCCUAAUACAUGCAAGUCGAGCGAACGGACGAGAAGCUUGCUUCUCUGAUGUUAGCGGCGGACGGGUGAGUAACACGUGGAUAACCUACCUAUAAGACUGGGAUAAAUUCGGGAAACCGGAGCUAAUACCGGAUGAUAUUUUGAACCGCAUGGUUCAAAAGUGAAAGACGGUCUUGCUGUCACUUAUAGAUGGAUCCGCGCUGCAUUAGCUAGUUGGUAAGGUAACGGCUUACCAAGGCAACGAUGCAUAGCCGACCUGAGAGGGUGAUCGGCCACACUGGAACUGAGACACGGUCCAGACUCCUACGGGAGGCAGCAGUAGGGAAUCUUCCGCAAUGGGCGAAAGCCUGACGGAGCAACGCCGCGUGAGUGAUGAAGGUCUUCGGAUCGUAAAACUCUGUUAUUAGGGAAGAACAUAUGUGUAAGUAACUGUGGACAUCUUGACGGUACCUAAUCAGAAAGCCACGGCUAACUACGUG
This 497-nucleotide ribosomal RNA is filed under the name uncultured bacterium. RNAcentral describes it as "partial 16S ribosomal RNA". It matches the Rfam family "Bacterial small subunit ribosomal RNA", at positions 28 to 507 of the family's 1533-position model. The record is from RNAcentral.